GACGAACGCUGGCGGCGUGCCUAAUACAUGCAAGUCGAACGCACUCUCGUUUAGAUUGAAGGAGCUUGCUCCUGAUUGAUAAACAUUUGAGUGAGUGGCGGACGGGUGAGUAACACGUGGGUAACCUGCCCUAAAGUGGGGGAUAACAUUUGGAAACAGAUGCUAAUACCGCAUAAAACCUAAACACCGCAUGGUGUAGGGUUGAAAGAUGGUUUCGGCUAUCACUUUAGGAUGGACCCGCGGUGCAUUAGUUAGUUGGUGAGGUAAAGGCUCACCAAGACCGUGAUGCAUAGCCGACCUGAGAGGGUAAUCGGCCACACUGGGACUGAGACACGGCCCAGACUCCUACGGGAGGCAGCAGUAGGGAAUCUUCCACAAUGGACGAAAGUCUGAUGGAGCAACGCCGCGUGAGUGAAGAAGGUUUUCGGAUCGUAAAACUCUGUUGUUGGAGAAGGAAAUGUAUCUGAUAGUAACUGAUCAGGUAGUGACGGUAUCCAACCAGAAAGCCACGG
Molecule: ribosomal RNA, 512 nt
Filed under: uncultured bacterium
Lineage: Bacteria
Description: bacterial SSU rRNA
Rfam family: Bacterial small subunit ribosomal RNA
Source: RNAcentral